GGUUAAGCGACUAAGCGUACACGGUGGAUGCCCUGGCAGUCAGAGGCGAUGAAGGACGUGCUAAUCUGCGAAAAGCGCCGGCGAGGUGAUAUGAACCCUUGACCCGGCGAUGUCCGAAUGGGGAAACCCAGUGUGAUUCGUCACACUAUCGUUAACUGAAUACAUAGGUUAACGAGGCGAACCGGGGGAACUGAAACAUCUAAGUACCCCGAGGAAAAGAAAUCAACCGAGAUUCCCCCAGUAGCGGCGAGCGAACGGGGAGCAGCCCAGAGUCUGAAUCAGCUUGUGUGUUAGUGGAAGCGUCUGGAAAGUCGCACGGUACAGGGUGAAAGUCCCGUACACGAAAAUGCACAGGCUGUGAACUCGAAGAGUAGGGCGGGACACGUGGUAUCCUGUCUGAAUAUGGGGGGACCAUCCUCCAAGGCUAAAUACUCCUGACUGACCGAUAGUGAACCAGUACCGUGAGGGAAAGGCGAAAAGAACCCCGGCGAGGGGAGUGAAAAAGAACCUGAAACCGUGUACGUACAAGCAGUGGGAGCACCUUCGGGUGUGACUGCGUACCUUUUGUAUAAUGGGUCAGCGACUUAUAUUCUGUAGCAAGGUUAACCGUAUAGGGGAGCCGAAGGGAAACCGAGUCUUAACUGGGCGUUAAGUUGCAGGGUAUAGACCCGAAACCCGGUGAUCUAGCCAUGGGCAGGUUGAAGGUUGGGUAACACUAACUGGAGGACCGAACCGACUAAUGUUGAAAAAUUAGCGGAUGACCUGUGGCUGGGGGUGAAAGGCCAAUCAAACCGGGAGAUAGCUGGUUCUCCCCGAAAGCUAUUUAGGUAGCGCCUCGUGAACUCAUCUUCGGGGGUAGAGCACUGUUUCGGCUAGGGGGCCAUCCCGGCUUACCAACCCGAUGCAAACUACGAAUACCGAAGAAUGUUAUCACGGGAGACACACGGCGGGUGCUAACGUCCGUCGUGAAGAGGGAAACAACCCAGACCGCCAGCUAAGGUCCCAAAGUCAUGGUUAAGUGGGAAACGAUGUGGGAAGGCCCAGACAGCCAGGAUGUUGGCUUAGAAGCAGCCAUCAUUUAAAGAAAGCGUAAUAGCUCACUGGUCGAGUCGGCCUGCGCGGAAGAUGUAACGGGGCUAAACCAUGCACCGAAGCUGCGGCAGCGACACUCUGUGUUGUUGGGUAGGGGAGCGUUCUGUAAGCCGUUGAAGGUGGCCUGUGAGGGUUGCUGGAGGUAUCAGAAGUGCGAAUGCUGACAUAAGUAACGAUAAAGCGGGUGAAAAGCCCGCUCGCCGGAAGACCAAGGGUUCCUGUCCAACGUUAAUCGGGGCAGGGUGAGUCGACCCCUAAGGCGAGGCCGAAAGGCGUAGUCGAUGGGAAACAGGUUAAUAUUCCUGUACUUGGUGUUACUGCGAAGGGGGGACGGAGAAGGCUAUGUUAGCCGGGCGACGGUUGUCCCGGUUUAAGCAUGUAGGCGGAGGUUCCAGGUAAAUCCGGUACCUUUUAACGCUGAGGUGUGAUGACGAGGCACUACGGUGCUGAAGUAACAAAUGCCCUGCUUCCAGGAAAAGCCUCUAAGCAUCAGGUAACAUCAAAUCGUACCCCAAACCGACACAGGUGGUCAGGUAGAGAAUACCAAGGCGCUUGAGAGAACUCGGGUGAAGGAACUAGGCAAAAUGGUGCCGUAACUUCGGGAGAAGGCACGCUGAUAUGUAGGUGAAGCCCCUGCGGGUGGAGCUGAAAUCAGUCGAAGAUACCAGCUGGCUGCAACUGUUUAUUAAAAACACAGCACUGUGCAAACACGAAAGUGGACGUAUACGGUGUGACGCCUGCCCGGUGCCGGAAGGUUAAUUGAUGGGGUUAGCGGCAACGCGAAGCUCUUGAUCGAAGCCCCGGUAAACGGCGGCCGUAACUAUAACGGUCCUAAGGUAGCGAAAUUCCUUGUCGGGUAAGUUCCGACCUGCACGAAUGGCGUAAUGAUGGCCAGGCUGUCUCCACCCGAGACUCAGUGAAAUUGAACUCGCUGUGAAGAUGCAGUGUACCCGCGGCAAGACGGAAAGACCCCGUGAACCUUUACUAUAGCUUGACACUGAACACUGGUCCUUGAUGUGUAGGAUAGGUGGGAGGCUUUGAAGCGUGGACGCCAGUCUGCGUGGAGCCGUCCUUGAAAUACCACCCUUUAAUGGCUGGUGUUCUAACGUAGACCCGUAAUCCGGGUUGCGGACAGUGUCUGGUGGGUAGUUUGACUGGGGCGGUCUCCUCCCAAAGAGUAACGGAGGAGCACGAAGGUUAGCUAAUCCUGGUCGGACAUCAGGAGGUUAGUGCAAUGGCAUAAGCUAGCUUGACUGCGAGAGUGACGGCUCGAGCAGGUGCGAAAGCAGGUCAUAGUGAUCCGGUGGUUCUGAAUGGAAGGGCCAUCGCUCAACGGAUAAAAGGUACUCCGGGGAUAACAGGCUGAUACCGCCCAAGAGUUCAUAUCGACGGCGGUGUUUGGCACCUCGAUGUCGGCUCAUCACAUCCUGGGGCUGAAGUAGGUCCCAAGGGUAUGGCUGUUCGCCAUUUAAAGUGGUACGCGAGCUGGGUUUAGAACGUCGUGAGACAGUUCGGUCCCUAUCUGCCGUGGGCGCUGGAGAAUUGAGGGGGGCUGCUCCUAGUACGAGAGGACCGGAGUGGACGCAUCACUGGUGUUCGGGUUGUCAUGCCAAUGGCACUGCCCGGUAGCUAAAUGCGGAAGAGAUAAGUGCUGAAAGCAUCUAAGCACGAAACUUGCCCCGAGAUGAGUUCUCCCUGACUCCUUGAGAGUCCUGAAGGAACGUUGAAGACGACGACGUUGAUAGGUCGGGUGUGUAAGCGCAGCGAUGCGUUGAGCUAACCGAUACUAAUGAACCGUGAGGCUUAACCUU
RNAcentral lists this ribosomal RNA (2903 nucleotides) under Enterobacter cloacae. RNAcentral's name for it is "23S ribosomal RNA". It matches the Rfam family "Bacterial large subunit ribosomal RNA". Lineage: Bacteria; Pseudomonadati; Pseudomonadota; Gammaproteobacteria; Enterobacterales; Enterobacteriaceae. The record is from RNAcentral.